Molecule: ribosomal RNA, 604 nt
Filed under: Candida tropicalis
Lineage: Eukaryota; Fungi; Ascomycota; Pichiomycetes; Serinales; Debaryomycetaceae
Description: eukaryotic LSU rRNA
Rfam family: Eukaryotic large subunit ribosomal RNA
Source: RNAcentral
UGCAUAUCAAAAAAGCGGAGGAAAAGAAACCAACAGGGAUUGCCUUAGUAGCGGCGAGUGAAGCGGCAAAAGCUCAAAUUUGAAAUCUGGCUCUUUCAGAGUCCGAGUUGUAAUUUGAAGAAGGUAUCUUUGGGUCUGGCUCUUGUCUAUGUUUCUUGGAACAGAACGUCACAGAGGGUGAGAAUCCCGUGCGAUGAGAUGAUCCAGGCCUAUGUAAAGUUCCUUCGAAGAGUCGAGUUGUUUGGGAAUGCAGCUCUAAGUGGGUGGUAAAUUCCAUCUAAAGCUAAAUAUUGGCGAGAGACCGAUAGCGAACAAGUACAGUGAUGGAAAGAUGAAAAGAACUUUGAAAAGAGAGUGAAAAAGUACGUGAAAUUGUUGAAAGGGAAGGGCUUGAGAUCAGACUUGGUAUUUUGUAUGUUACUUCUUCGGGGGUGGCCUCUACAGUUUAUCGGGCCAGCAUCAGUUUGGGCGGUAGGAGAAUUGCGUUGGAAUGUGGCACGGCUUCGGUUGUGUGUUAUAGCCUUCGUCGAUACUGCCAGCCUAGACUGAGGACUGCGGUUUAUACCUAGGAUGUUGGCAUAAUGAUCUUAAGUCGCCCGUCUUG